This is a long non-coding RNA of Neolamprologus brichardi, 449 nucleotides long. RefSeq lists it as uncharacterized. Lineage: Eukaryota; Metazoa; Chordata; Actinopteri; Cichliformes; Cichlidae. The record is from RefSeq and is a predicted model, not a curated record.
CGCAGGAUGGAGGGAUCUCUUCACAAGUCAUGAUUCGCAGCUCCGGGUGAUGCCUCAGGAUGUGAGAUGCUGCGGUAGUUGAGUCACUCUGGGCCUUCAUAAAAACAGCCUAACACACGAUAAAGCACAGAGGUUAGUUUACCUGCGCUUUUGAUAAGGAGAAGAUGGAAGAAUGCUGUAUUUUGCCGCAUAAUGGCUUCCUAACAGCCUGGAGUCUCAUCAGAAAGGCAGUGAUCUCCUCUGGCAGCUCAUUCAGUCCCUUAUAGCACAAUGCUGCGGAGUACCUCUUCAAGCUGCCUAUCCAUCAUACCCUGAGAAAACACACCAGAUCAAGUAAUGUUAGCCGUAACACAGUUUAAGCUUUUCUCUGUGUUGUGCUUUUAUUAAAUUUAGUGCCCGUGCAGAGAGUCUCUGUGGACAAGUUGAUAGCUAGACAAAAGUCCAAGAGG